UAAAGCUCUUCUCCUUCUGAUUCAUCGAGAAGUAUACUGAUUGAUUGAGAGGAUUGAUUCUCUCUUGGUAGAAAAGCUUAACUCUUGAUUCGAAGUUGGUAUCAAUAUUUUCUUCACGUUCAAGGCGAAGUCUCCACGAUGGUCAAGACUUGAGAUUUAGAACUUGCUUUGGAGAUUUGAUGCAGUAUCCAGAUGAGUUGGAGCUAUUCGGGUUUCGGGAUUUCGGGGGAAAAGAUUUAAGUUCCAUUCGGAUAUUUUAAAUUUCGGUUCGAAUUUUUGCGGGUUCGGGUUCGGAUAACCUAUUUAAAUUAUUUUUAAAAUUAUAAAUUCAUUAUAUAUUUUAAAUUACUCAAAAUCUAUAAACAAAAUAAUAUAUUACAUAUAAAUUUGAAUAACAUAUGUAAAAUACCUAAACUUAACAUAUAAAUUGGUUUUGUUUGAAUAUUUAGAUAGAGAAUAAAUAAAUAUUUUAAGUAUUUUUGGUAUUUUGAGUAUACUUUAACUAUUUAAGACAUUUACUUUUGAUUAUUUUGUAUAUAUUUUCAAGUAUUUUGGAUAAGUUAAAAGUAUCAAAUAUAUUUUGGAUUUUUUUAAUCUACAUUAAAUCUAAAAAAUAAUUAAUAUAUAGGUUUAUAAAUCUAUUUCAGAUAUAUUCGGGUAUCCAAAAUAUUUCGAUUCAGAUCGGAUUUGGUUUCGGUUCUUUAAAUACCAAAAUUUUAGACCCAUUCGGAUAUUUAAUCAAUUUUGGUUUGAAUUCGGUACUACUUUUUCGGAUCGGGUUCGGUUCGGUUUUUCGGAUCUGGGUUUUUUGCCAGCCCUAACUGAAAUGUUGGGUUGACAAAAAAAAAAGAUCAAAAUUAAAAUUAGAUUGAAAUGGGUAUAUAUGGAUAUGUCCAAAUUGGACAUGAAUGUUUUUUUGACCAUUCUCCAUUGCAGAUCGACCAGUGAUAGUCCAGAAGGGUAAACCGUGUGGUCAAUUCAAAUGGGCGAUGGAUGAACCAAUUGACACAUCUAUACAUAUAUUGUCUUUUUCAUAGUCCAUUAUUGUUAGAAAAGAAUAAUAUAGUAUUGAAGAUUUCUCCCAUGAUAAGAAAAAAUAAAAAUAUGAAAAAAAAUUAUAUAAUGAUGUUACAGAGUUAUUUUUAGUAGACCCCUAUUGAUGUUGAGAUUCAACUGGAACUAAAAUAAUAACUUGUUUUUUUAUUGGUGCAUUGUUUUGGUAGUUUCCUUUCUUGCACACACAACUUUGUAGCUCCCAUCUAUCUUAAAAAGAGGUUCCC
RNAcentral lists this long non-coding RNA (1280 nucleotides) under Brassica rapa (field mustard). RNAcentral describes it as "long non-coding RNA (BRAP_LNC002666)". The record is from RNAcentral. Lineage: Eukaryota; Viridiplantae; Streptophyta; Magnoliopsida; Brassicales; Brassicaceae.